AUUUCAGGGGAGCUGGAUAAUGCCAGCUGAGAGUAAGAACUGGAUUCUUAGACCCUUUACCUGAUCUGGAUAAUGCCAGCGUAGGGAGAAUGGUUUACUA
RNAcentral lists this non-coding RNA (100 nucleotides) under Clostridium cochlearium. RNAcentral's name for it is "TPP riboswitch (THI element)". The stretch from base 3 to 90 matches the Rfam family "TPP riboswitch aptamer (THI element)", at positions 8 to 91 of the family's 105-position model. From Rfam's summary of the family: Vitamin B(1) in its active form thiamin pyrophosphate (TPP) is an essential coenzyme that is synthesised by coupling of pyrimidine and thiazole moieties in bacteria. The previously detected thiamin-regulatory element, thi box was extended, resulting in a new, highly conserved RNA secondary structure, the THI element, which is widely distributed in eubacteria and also occurs in some archaea. Lineage: Bacteria; Bacillati; Bacillota; Clostridia; Eubacteriales; Clostridiaceae. The record is from RNAcentral.